Molecule: ribosomal RNA, 800 nt
Filed under: uncultured bacterium
Lineage: Bacteria
Description: bacterial SSU rRNA
Rfam family: Bacterial small subunit ribosomal RNA
Source: RNAcentral
AGAGUUUGAUCCUGGCUCAGGAUGAACGCUGGCGGUAUGCCUUACACAUGCAAGUCGAACGGGAAUUAGCCUCGGUUAAUUCUAGUGGCGGACGGGUGAGUAACACGUGAGAAUUCGCCUUUAGGAGGGGGAUAACGAAUGGAAACAUUCGCUAAAACCCCAUAUGCCCCUGGGUGAAAAAGAGGAGAUAAGUUAAACUGAAUCACCUCUGCCUGAAGAGAAGCUCGCGGCUGAUUAGCUAGUUGGUAGGGUAAUGGCCUACCAAGGCGACGAUCAGUAGCUGGUCUGAGAGGACGAUCAGCCACACUGGAACUGAGACACGGUCCAGACUCCUACGGGAGGCAGCAGUGAGGAAUUUUCUGCAAUGGGCGAAAGCCUGACAGAGCAAUACCGCGUGAGGGAUGAAGACUUACUGAGUUGUAAACCUCGGUGCCUUAAGGAAGAAGAUCUGACGGUACUUAAGGUGGAAAGCAUCGGCUAACUCCGUGCCAGCAGCCGCGGUAAGACGGGGGAUGCAAGUGUUAUCCGGAAUUACUGGGCGUAAAGCGUCUGCAGGUGGUUUCUUAAGUCUACUGUUAAAUCUUGAGGCUCAACCUCAAAUCUGCAGUAGAAACUAGGAGACUUGAGUAUAGUAGGGGUAGAGGGAAUUUCCAGUGGAGCGGUGAAAUGCGUAGAUAUUGGAAAGAACACCGAUGGCGAAGGCACUCUACUGGGCUAUUACUGACACUCAGAGACGAAAGCUAGGGGAGCAAAUGGGAUUAGAUACCCCAGUAGUCCUAGCCGUAAACGAUGGAUACUCG